RNAcentral lists this long non-coding RNA (1038 nucleotides) under Apteryx haastii (Great spotted kiwi). Its description in RNAcentral is "lncRNA (ENSAHAG00000000945.1)". The record is from RNAcentral. Lineage: Eukaryota; Metazoa; Chordata; Aves; Apterygiformes; Apterygidae.
AUGAGUUCAGAGCGUGUUCCCAGACACCAAAGGAGAGGAUGGUGGUGCCUGGAUCUGCUUUUCGAGGCAUUGCCGGCCGUAUCCCACCACCACCACCGCGUGAUUCCCAGGAUGCCGAACCGCGCGCGUGAGUCGUGCUGCAGUUCGGCACACGCUGGCACCGUGCGAAAGGUGUUUGCAAACAAACAGAGCGGCUGCGAGCGAGAGCCGCCGCUCCUGGGAGCGGGAACAGCAGCGGGGAGAAAGCCCGGAAAAGGCGGCGCGGGAGCGAGCGUGCACCGCUCCCUGCUGCUGCGCGGGAGCUUUCCCAGCUGUGGUGCUGGGCUCUCCCAGGCGAGGAGGCCCCACAGACAUCGGGGAAUGCCCCGAAAAAUCAGGAAUGCUCCGAGACCUGCCCCGCGCGUCCGGCUGCAGCCCUGGCGGCCGGUCCCAGGCGCUUGGACAGCAAACUGGGCGAAAGUCAGAGGCAAGGGGAGCUCGGCUGGCGGCUCAUCGGGGCUCCAGUCCUUUGCCACUGAGUUUCCUCCAUCCCGAAGAGUCAUUAGGAUAAUUAAAGUAUUCUCCCUCCAUCGCCGCGGGAGGAAUCGCUAUAGCAACCAGUGCUCUGGUCCUGUCGAGCAAGUGAGUCACCAAACGCAACCGCGCCGGUGUCGGGAGACGAUCCCGACUUGUGUCUCCGACCGCGAGCCGGCCUCUCGGGAGAGAAGGGGGCUCGCGCUGAACGGGACGGGGCAGCCGCGGGAAAACUGCCCUUCCGCUCCCGAAGCGCCAGCCGGCAGGUCCCGGCCCGCUUGCGGCGGCUCGCUGGGGUUCGGAGGGCGUCUCGCCGGCGCCGCUUUGCCGUCGUUCUCCCUCCGCGCGGCUCUGCUGCGAGUUCAGCCACGGAGGCCCCCGCGAGGGCCGUGGUUUCCCGCUCUGAGCUUCCCGAGCGGCCUUCGGCAUCACUUCGGCAAGAGGCACGUCGCGGCUCCGAGGAAAAAUGCCUCGCGGUUCCCCAGGGAAAAGGAAAGCUCAGGAAGAGCUGAUUGCUUUGGAUAG